Molecule: ribosomal RNA, 468 nt
Filed under: uncultured bacterium
Lineage: Bacteria
Description: partial 16S ribosomal RNA
Rfam family: Bacterial small subunit ribosomal RNA
Source: RNAcentral
GACGAACGCUGGCGGCGUGCUUAACACAUGCAAGUCGAACGGAAAGGCCCUGCUUUUGUUGGGUGCUCGAGUGGCGAACGGGUGAGUAACACGUGAGUAACCUGCCCUUGACUUUGGGAUAACUUCAGGAAACUGGGGCUAAUACCGGAUAGGAGCUCCUGCUGCAUGGUGGGGGUUGGAAAGUUUCGGCGGUUGGGUAUGGACUCGCGGCUUAUCAGCUUGUUGGUGGGGUAGUGGCUUACCAAGGCUUUGACGGGUAGCCGGCCUGAGAGGGUGACCGGCCACAUUGGGACUGAGAUACGGCCCAGACUUCUACGGGAGGCAGCGGUGGGGAAUAUUGCACAAUGGGCGGAAGCCUGAUGCAGCCACGCCGCGUGCGGGAUGACGGCCUUCGGGUUGUAAACCGCUUUCGCCUGUGACGAAGCGUGAGUGACGGUAAUGGGUAAAGAAGCACCGGCUAACUACGUG